AACGAACGCUGGCGGCAUGCCUAACACAUGCAAGUCGAACGAGACCUUCGGGUCUAGUGUCGCACGGGUUCGUAACGCGUGGGAACCUGCCCUUAGGUUCGGAAUCACUCCCCGCAAGGGGUGCUAAUACCGGCUAAUGUCUUCGGACCAAAGAUUUAUCGCCUUUGGAUGGCCCCGCGUUGGAUUAGCUAGUUGGUAGGGUAAAAGCCUACCAAGGCGACGUUCCAUAGCUGGUCUGAGAGGAUGAUCAGCCACACUGGGACUGAGACACGGCCCAGACUCCUACGGGAGGCAGCAGUGGGGAAUAUUGGACAAUGGGCGAAAGCCUGAUCCAGCAAUGCCGCGUGAGUGAUGAAGGCCUUAGGGUUGUAAAGCUCUUUUACCCGGGAUGAUAAUGACAGUACCGGGAGAAUAAGCUCCGGCUAACUCCGUG
Molecule: ribosomal RNA, 433 nt
Filed under: uncultured bacterium
Lineage: Bacteria
Description: partial 16S ribosomal RNA
Rfam family: Bacterial small subunit ribosomal RNA
Source: RNAcentral